RNAcentral lists this ribosomal RNA (497 nucleotides) under uncultured bacterium. Its description in RNAcentral is "partial 16S ribosomal RNA". It matches the Rfam family "Bacterial small subunit ribosomal RNA", at positions 28 to 507 of the family's 1533-position model. The record is from RNAcentral.
GAUGAACGCUGGCGGCGUGCCCAAUACAUGCAAGUCGAGCGAACAGACGAGGAGCUUGCUCCUUUGACGUUAGCGGCGGUCGGGUGAGUAACACGUGGGUAACCUACCUAUAAGACUGGGAUAACUUCGGGAAACCGGAGCUAAUACCGGAUAAUAUUUCGAACCGCAUGGUUCGAUAGUGAAAGAUGGCUUUGCUAUCACUUAUAGAUGGACCUGCGCCGUAUUAGCUAGUUGGUAAGGUAACGGCUUACCAAGGCAACGAUACGUAGCCGACCUGAGAGGGUGAUCGGCCACACUGGAACUGAGACACGGUCCAGACUCCUACGGGAGGCAGCAGUAGGGAAUCUUCCGCAAUGGGCGAAAGCCUGACGGAGCAACGCCGCGUGAGUGAUGAAGGUCUUCGGAUCGUAAAACUCUGUUAUUAGGGAAGAACAAACGUGUAAGUAACUGUGCACGUCUUGACGGUACCUAAUCAGAAAGCCACGGCUAACUACGUG